Rhododendron vialii is the source of this 108-nucleotide small nucleolar RNA. RefSeq annotates it as small nucleolar RNA snoR100. The transcript has a single exon. The record is from RefSeq and is a predicted model, not a curated record. NCBI's taxonomy places the organism in Eukaryota, Viridiplantae, Streptophyta, Magnoliopsida, Ericales, Ericaceae.
AAAUGAAGGAAGCAUGAUAAUGUGCACAGAAAUUGAAUUGGAUUUUUAGGUCUGCCAUCUCUGAUGUCUUUUGGUUUUGAUUUGGGGACAUGGUUCCGCAGUAAAACA